This 91-nucleotide non-coding RNA is filed under the name Pseudomonas sp. SJZ131. Lineage: Bacteria; Pseudomonadati; Pseudomonadota; Gammaproteobacteria; Pseudomonadales; Pseudomonadaceae. The record is from RNAcentral.
UGUGGGAGCGAGCCUGCUCGCGAUUGCGGUCUGACAUUCAGCAUUUUUUGUUGGCUGAUCCACCCCCAUCGCGAGCAGGCUCGCUCCCACA